RNAcentral lists this transfer RNA (73 nucleotides) under Acropora cervicornis. Its description in RNAcentral is "tRNA-OTHER". It matches the Rfam family "tRNA". From Rfam's summary of the family: Transfer RNA (tRNA) molecules are approximately 80 nucleotides in length. The record is from RNAcentral. Lineage: Eukaryota; Metazoa; Cnidaria; Anthozoa; Scleractinia; Acroporidae.
GGCUUCAUAGCUCAGUUGGUUAGAGCGUCGGACCGGUCUCGCAAGGUCACGGGUUCAAACCCCGUUGAAGUCC